UUCGACGCAACGCGAGAAACCUUANCAGCGUUUGACAUCCUAAGAAGUUUCCAGAGAUGGAUUCGUGCCGGCUUGCCGGAACUUUAGUGACAGGUGGUGCAUGGCUGUCGUCAGCUCGUGUCGUGAGAUGUUNGGGUUAAGUCCCGCAACGAGCGCAACCCCUAUUGUAUGUUGCUACCAUNNNNNUGANCNNNCCNNNNNAUACUGCCUGCGAUGAGCAGGAGGAAGGUGGGGAUGACGUCAAGUCAUCAUGCCCCUUAUACGCUGGGCUACACACGUGCUACAAUGGGCAGUACAGAGAGUUGCCAACCCGCGAGGGUGAGCUAAUCUCUUAAAGCUGUUCUUAGUUCGGAUUGUACUCUGCAACUCGAGUACAUGAAGUUGGAAUCGCUAGUAAUCGCAAAUCAGCAUGUUGCGGUGAAUACGUUCUCGGGUCUUGUACACACCGCCCGUCACACCACGAGAGUUGGUUGCACCUGAAGUAGCAGGCCUAACCGUAAGGAGGGAUGUUCCUAAGGUGUGAUUAGCGAUUGGGGUG
This 538-nucleotide ribosomal RNA is filed under the name uncultured prokaryote. RNAcentral describes it as "partial 16S ribosomal RNA". It matches the Rfam family "Bacterial small subunit ribosomal RNA", at positions 950 to 1482 of the family's 1533-position model. The record is from RNAcentral.